AUGCAGGCUCGCUUCGUCGCCGCCGGCUUCGGCCGGGGGAGGAAAGUCCGGGCAACGCAGAGCAUCGCACAGGUUAACGGCCUGAUGUCCGUGAGGGCAUGGCAAGCGUAACAGAGAAUAACCGCCCGCAAGGGUAAGGGUGAAAAGGCGGGGUAAGAGCCCACCGCGGCGGCAGCAAUGUCGACCGGCAGUACGUCCUGCGAGUUGCAAGACCAUGUAUACCGGCAGUCAAGGGUUGCUCGCCCGAUGCCGGGGGGUAGGUUGCUUCAUGCGGCGGGAGCCCGUCGUGGUAGAUAAAUGA
This 301-nucleotide RNase P RNA is filed under the name Alistipes sp. Its description in RNAcentral is "partial RNase P RNA component class A". It matches the Rfam family "Bacterial RNase P class A", at positions 17 to 315 of the family's 367-position model. Rfam says of the family: Ribonuclease P (RNase P) is a ubiquitous endoribonuclease, found in archaea, bacteria and eukarya as well as chloroplasts and mitochondria. The record is from RNAcentral. Lineage: Bacteria; Pseudomonadati; Bacteroidota; Bacteroidia; Bacteroidales; Rikenellaceae.